Molecule: long non-coding RNA, 15708 nt
Organism: Numida meleagris (helmeted guineafowl)
Lineage: Eukaryota; Metazoa; Chordata; Aves; Galliformes; Numididae
Exons: 2
Source: RefSeq, a predicted model, not a curated record
UUUUUUUUUGGGGGGGGGGGGGGGCUGCUACAUCAUAAUACAUUGAAGGUAUACAAUCUUAAUUUAAGACAUAAAAAAAGCAAAAUUCCCUCUUUGGUAUGUUUCUCAAGUGGUUAAUCAACCUAUUUCUUAAAAAGUACAUGUAGUUUUGCAUUUUAAAUUUUGUAUGUUUAAUAUUCAAACCUUUUGUUUGGUUGUUGUUUUUUAAUGUUGUACCUACUGCUUUCUCCUGUCACUGUGAAUGUGCAUAUAUGUUAUUUGUGCAUAACGUACACAAUACUUCUGAGCUGUCAUUUUAGCACAGGAUCUCAUGCUAACAGAAGAGCGGUCCUGGGCUUAGCUACCAGGAUGCAGAGAUCCUUCAGAACAAUGCACAAGAAGAACCAGCUCCUCCUGCGUCUGUUUGCUUUUAUUCUUAGGAAAGUACUAAACCCAAGAAACUCUAAUGAGCCAGUUUGCUUGCGGCAGUAAGCAAGAUCCAAUAUACAUUUUUCUUGCUGGCUUUUAGAUUGAGUAGAAUGAGUAUUGUGUAGUUAAAUAAAUGAUUCAAAACUGUCUAUCACUAGCACCAAGACAGGAGAAAAAAAAGUCAGCUUUUGGAAUAAAUGUAUAUAAAUAUUUGUUUCAGCUAAAAUACAUUACUUUACUACUAACUUUAAUCAAGCAAACAUAUUUCGGAUAAUUCUUGGGAAGAUGCUUUGCUACAUUCAUUGACAGCUCUUAAAGUAUCAAGAUAGGAGAAGCAUCUCUAUAAGCUUCUGGAUUUUCACUGACAUAAUUUGGUUUCCAUGCACUGAUAACAUUGAUUCUGGUGGUAACAAUUACAUUUUUUCAGGUAGUAGAAAAAAAAAUCAAUCUCAAAAUGCCUGAUUUUGUAAAACAUUUGUCCCUGACAUUACCUUGAUGUAGAAAGAAAGGCCUCUGAAUAUCGAUUGUGCCAUACCAAGACUUAAAAUGGCAGAUGUAUGAAUCCAGAUAAAAGUACUGUCUGUGACAUAAGACAUGUGGGACAACCAUGUUGUUUAAAGUACUCUGAGCAGCACUACUUAGCAGUUGUAAACUUGAUGGUUUCCAUAGCAGAGAAGCUGUAAGCAACUGUACUCCAACGUGUAAACAUCCAACAUGUAAAUAAGAACUUAGCUAAUCGUUUGGUUCUCUUGAAUACAAAGUGAAAACUGUACCCACUUUGGUUGUACUUUAGUUUCUCUUCCUAGCAAUGAAAACAUUACAUGAAGAGCUCUCCAGUGAAGCUGGUAUAAAUACUGGGCAGGAGGAGCUUGUGGAAAUAGCAGUCAGUUACAAGGUAGCCCUAACCCUGCUGCAUUGAUUACGCAGGGGUUACCAUACACAGACACUGAUACUGAAUAGAGGUAAAAGAUUUGUAGAUUGUUUUAAGAGAAGACAGCUAACUAGCCUGCCUGUAUUUUGUUCGAAAACUGAAUCUGAGGUAUUGGCUUCUAUCAGUGUUUGUCACCAAAACCCUGCUCAAACAGUUUUGUUGGGAUUCAGAAGUGUGUCCCUAAAAAAGAGCUCUGAAAUUUAUUUCAUCCUUGAGCUUGCUGACCUGGGAUUGUCUUUAUGUCCAUAUUUGUCCCAUCCUUCGUCUUCUCACAUUUCUACCUUGCACAGUUCAGAUUACCAGCAUUUCCAUAAUGCAGCCCAGAUAUGCCAUACCUGGCAGUGGAGUACUUCGGACGGAUUUCUGUCUAUCACUGUUGCUAGAGCUCCUGUUUUCAUAUCAUCCUUUCUUACUUUUGUCCAUUAAAUGUGAUUAACCAUUUCUCUGCUAUACAGACACCUUUGCAUUUUCCCAUUUAUCAUCUUUCUACACUAGUUUCUUGCCAAGUAACCACAGCCAUUCCUAAAACUUCAUCUGCCAGGUAGACCCCAAAUGCUUUGUCUAUCCCUUGCGCCUUCUGCUUAGCUGCUCUGAUGUGACAGGUUGAGCCUCCAUUCAGCAUCAGCCUGUGGCGCUUUCCCCUUCUUUCAGUGCCUGGUCCCUUCCCCAGUCAGGAGUUACAAUGCCUCUGCUCUUUGGCCUCAUUUUAUGUUGUCUGCAGGAGGAAAGCAAUUAACAAAUGUCACUGUUUCUCCUGUUUUGUGCCCACAGAUCCGUGCCAUGCAUACAACUGCAGUACAUGAAGAUGGUAUAGUAUUAUGUUGCACAGUAUGUGAAGGGUGCAUUCUAUCAGUCCUUCCAGCUCAGUACAGCAUAUUGACUAAUUCUGGGUAUUGAAAUUGCUGUUUUAAAUGUAAGUUACAGCAGUAAUAAAUGAGGCUUUAUCCACCAGAUCCCCAACAUUUUGUAUGUUACUCUGAAAAUCCUUUUACGAGCCCAAUUACAAGUUAGCACUUAUUUUAAUUAAACUUACAGCACAGCACACAGGUUAGUUAACCAGUGCUCCAAAGCUCCAUUCAGUUUUAGAGGAAAUUAGGAAGCACUUCCAAUCAAGUUUAUCUGUCAUUCUUCACACACUGUGCUUGAGCAUACAUUAUAAAAAUGGUAAUAGAGGAUUAUAUGUCUCCAGGGAAGAUAAUGGGAAUGUGAAACUUCUCUCUUCUAGGCUGUUUUUUUCCAAUUUAGUUUAGAUUCUCGAGUUUUAAAAAUGCAUUUGAUGUUUGACUACAGUUUAGAUGUCUGCAUUAAAGGAGCAGGUGACCUCAGCUUCCAAGCCAGAGGGCUAUAAAGCCGCCUCACCAUGUUAAAUCCCUUAUUGUGAAUCUCAGCAAAAAACUGAUUGGUUUAUAGGACUGAAAAUGCUUGCUGCCUUCAACUAUGAGUCAAAUCCUGUCUGUGGCAGAAGCUAAUUGGAUGGGUGUUGCUUGUAAAAUGCCUCUCCUGCAUCUUUUUCUGAUUUUCAUUCCCAAGGCUUUCAGCCCGAAAGAGUUGUGUUUGAAAAAGAUGAAAAGAAGAAUUUGGUUUUAGGGAAUGCAGCAACACAGUCCUUUGUUAAAUCUGGUUUGAUGUGUCUCUCCAUUGACAUCUAGUGUCCAUACAGAAAGAUCUUUAGAUUGCUCACAGCCAUAUUGGCAAUAUUUAUCUCUAAACUUUUAAAGAUUUCUCCAUAUGUAGCAAUUAAGACUUACUAUUAACAAUAGCAGGUCAACCAGGAGGUGAUACCAAUGGGGAAAACACAGGAAUCCUCCUACACUUAACAUUUUGUUUUAUGCAGUGACAUCCAUAUAUUUUUGUGUUCCAAAUUUCUCCAGAAACCCAUAGAAAUAUGAUCCUCUUUAAAGUUAUCCUGUGAACAUCUGCAAAAUACUUUUAGUCUCUAUUAUCUUCUCUCAGAGCAUACAGCAAUUGUGAACCAGUAUUCAAUACAGAUUUUAUGAAGUAUUGUAGCUCUAUAAUCAGAUAUUACUCUUUCUUUCAUUAAGCAAGAGCUUAUUUCACUGACAGAGGGCUCUGUUAAGCCCUAUCUUCAUUAAACUCCAUUGUAUCCCUAAAAGCUGUUUAACAAAGAACUCUUCUUAUCUACUGUUACCUUCACAGUGAUAACAAGCUAUUUUGCUAUUUAUCCAGAACGUGGUAUAAAUUCAGAGCUGCUACAAAAGAAUUUGCUGUUUUGUUUAUGCAAAAUCUUGAACAGUAGCAGCAAGCAAUUAGUCAUGCCGCUGCUGUACACUUUGCUCCAAAAGCAACUCCACCUUCACAACACUUCCUACUCUUUCAGUCAGCAUUAGGUGCUUACGCUGGGAUAGCACACACAUAAGAAUUACACUAGAAUCCUAGACCCACCAUGCCAAGUCCUUCCCUGUUCUGAAAACUCCCUGUAGGUUCAUGUUUUAAGCAUUUCCAUCAUCGGGUUCCAUUUUCAAAGAAAGUUACUUGAAAUAUAUUACUUUACAAAAGCUUAAAAAGUAAUGUUUGAUACAUUAUCUCUUCAAUCAUGAGAAGAAAAUCCAGUCAGUUAAGAACUUGCUAUCAAAAUAUGUAACAUGCACAUAUAGGCGUUAGCUGCAGAUUUAUUUAGCAAACACCUAUGGUAGAUCAUUGACUUCUACUUUCAAAGCACCAGCGGUCUAAACUCUGCAAGAACCUUGGACUUACUCUGCCAUCUUAUAAUAAUAUCGGAGUGAGUUGGUGGCUAGGAUUUCUUGUAUGUAUGUAUGUAUACUUUGUUGUUUUUUAAAGUGAUAAAGUUGCAACACCAGCUUUCUGACUCCAAGACUAGCUUACAGUACAGGUACAGAUCUUACCCUCUGAGCAGAGAAAUGCUUUCAGUUUCUCAGCAGCAAGCCCUCUAGCAGCUUGAGUACCCUGGCAGGCUGGGAUAAGAAGGCCUUCCAUCCUUUCAACCAACAAAAUUUGGUGGUUAAUUUGUCUUUAUUGACAAUCUGAAGCAUAGCAGGUGACAGCCAUUAACACUGCUUCCAAAUCAUUAAGACUAGUGCAGCAGCCUUAUUAGAGCCAGCUGGAUUUGGAAAGAAAUAAUCUAUCAAGGAAAGUGAUCAGAAAAUUCCAGUUAACUAAAAAAGAAGCAGCCUCUUUUUGUAGUGUUGCAGCCUUAGGAGAAAAGUAGGACAAGUCCAAGGUGCGUGCUGGGCACAGCUGCAGGCUGGGACUGACUGGAUGGCUGUAAGGGACUUGUGGACUCCAUUGUUUCCUGCUUGUGUUUAUGAUUUAUCCCUCUGGCCAGCCUUCUCUCAGUAUCUCAUAAGCUCUAGAAGAGCUCUCACUUGGUUUGGUGAUAUCUGGCACAACAGGAAAUUUCUGAUGUACAAAUAAUGAAGCUUUGCCUUGCAGAAAUGGGAAACUUCUGUUGAAAAAGAGCUAGAACAGCCUUGAACCUUUUCUGUGAAGGUCAGAGGAGGGUGAUAAAAUAUUUCCCACACUUUCUGGAAAAGUACUUUUCAUCAGUUUCUGUGGAUCUCUGUCAAAUAUUUACUCUCUCCUUCCUUUCAGUGUUACAUUAACUAAAUUACUUGUUACAUUAGCCCAACUAUCAGAGAAUCUGUACUAAAAUUACCUGCUGAAUCAAUCUGUCCAAAAUAAGACUGACAGCGUCAUUAAAAUGGAUCCUGCUUAGAUUAUUCAUAAUUUACCUAUAAAGCAAAACAUGUGAUCAUGAACAGUAAAGGAAUGUGACAAUAAUUUCCUUCCGAGCUGUGGGUUCUGGCAAAGGCUUUAAUCCGAAACUGCUUUACAGUGAGAAUUACAAAUACACAUUUGUAUCUACCCUUGUUAUGAUCUGUCAGCCACCCUGACUUUUCAGCCCUGGCAGGACUCAGUGCUUCCAGCAAGGCCAGAUCCUGGCUCCAUGCUGUCUGUGGAAGACAGCAGUGGCUGCAGCUGGAAGCAUCGUGUUGCUUCAGCAACACCUCACGCCCCCAGGCACCGCGUUGCCUCGGUGACACCAGGUGGGCAGAUGCUGCCAGAUCAAGUUGUCUCAAGGCAGCUACCCCCAAAAAGCAGGGCAGCCUUGGCCGUUAGGGAAGAAGGGUCAAUGAGCAGGGGUGGGUGGCCUCUUUGUAGGACCAUUCACAGCCUGGUUUUGAAUGAGGAGACUGACUGGUGUGUGUUUCCUUGCAGAUGGUGAGACAGGGCUACUGCCAAAAGGAGCUUAGUAUUUAAUGUGUUAAGAUAAGACAGGGGGAAGGACAAUGUCAGCAGGAGGGGAUUGGCUGAAGGGAGCAAGUGCUGAGGCCAUUGUUCUUGGUUUACAUAAUCAGGACCUGCAAAUGUAUUGCAACAUCAGAAAUAAUUGGAGAGCAAUGACUCUUGUUACACUAUGCAUCUAUGAAUUGAGGUAGUUGUGUACAUUCAUUCUAGAAUAGUCUACUAUUGCAUUAUGGUGGAUAAACAUUGCAAAGUGUCUUGUAGGCAGAGGAUUAAAUAUCCAUUUACAAAGGCAAAUACCUCUGUUAAGAUUGUUAGACAUAAAACCUCCCACCCAGGUGACUGCAGGCAGUACAGCAAUUAGACCUAACCAGCAGGAAAAUGGUGACAGGUUUCCAAGAGCCCAGAGGUCCUUUAUCACAGCUGUGAUCAGCACCAAAAUUUAUUCUGUGGAUUCACUGGAGCUACCUGCAUAACUGCUAAUAAGAGGAAAGGGUUCCAAGUCUGAUGUGUAGACGUCAGUUAUCCAUGGCAUCUGUUGAAAAACAAGAAGAUGUAAAGGACAGAAGAAUUUGCACAAAAAGACAGGUAAUUUCCUUACCACUUAUCUUUUUCUGUAGGAAUCUUUUCUCCCUUUGCAGUGUUGGAUUGAGAAGCCUCUUGCCUACUGUAAUUAGCUCUUGAAUAAACAGCAUAUUUUGAACACAAGCCUCUGUGUCCUGUUUUUGUGUGUUAGCUAUAAUUAGGGCUUGAUUUGUUUGACUGGUUGUUCUUCUAAGCCUUGCACUGAUUCUUGCAGAAGAGCAUAGCUUGCUUUAAGGGGUCUAGAGUUUCUUUUAGCUUCUAGAAACAUCACUACAUGCUGCAGCGUUAUGUCUCAGCUAUAUUAACUUACAUGUUUUAAAGUAAACAUUUCUGUAUUUAUCAUUGUAGCCUUCCUGCUUGAUGUAGCCUUGCAUUUCUGAUAUUUAGCUUCAACCUCUGUGCCCUUCUUUGUACAUUUUCUGCAAUACAUUAGCUGUCUUUAUCCUCACAAUGAAAACUAUGCUUAAUUGUGUUUACAAAGGCUUCCUGAACUGUGAGAAGUGUUUCUCAGUGUGUGUGGUUUUGCAUCAUUUAGCCUUGAAAGGGUGCAGUUUUCCCUGACCUCUUGCUGUUUUUUCUCAGUGACUCUGGUAAUUGCAUCAGUAGCUUUGGGAUUCACAUUUUCCUUUCACAUGUAGGAAAGAUCCAACCUUUACUUACCCCCCUCCCAGCUGAAUCACAUAGUCCCUUCUUUUGCGAGCCUUCUCUGGCUCAGCCAUACCAGCUUUUUGGCUUCUGUGAAUGCAGACUUGUUUCACUCUUGUGCAAAAUCAUCUCUGCCACACUGCUCAUUUUCCUGGCUCAUCAUUUCAUUUACUUUGCUGUGAUUUCCUCUGUCGUCCCUUUUCUCUCUCUACAUCAAACACAUUUCAUAUCAAGAUCCUUCAUGACCUCUGUUCAGUCGAUCGUUCGCAGUCUGUCUGUAGUCGUUGAUCCGGAGUUGUCCACCAUCACCAUUCCAAACAGCCAUUUCUCCCCAUCACAGCUGGGCAGUGCUCUCUAGAAGUACCUUCCGAGACCGACCUGCCUCACUGAUUCUGUGCACUCCCACCUGUCUGGGGUAUUCAUCCUUGUUGUGCCACAUUCCUAAGGAAAGCCUCAGAGAGGAGACUUGUCUUUUGUUCUUCUCAGCGCACUGAAAAAUGACAGCUCCCUAAACUGCACUGCUAGUAAUGCAUCCCAGAUGUACGCAUUUGUGAUUCUAAUGUCACCUCAAAGCUUCUUUGUCCCCACACUGAUGCUCCUCCGCUUUAUCCACUGUUAGCAGGGGAGUUCCCUUUCAAACGCACAGCAGUUGUGUCAGUUCCCUGAUGUUUAAUUUGCAGUCAGCAAGAAACUAGAGGAAACAUGCAGACAAAAAAGGCUGUUUCUUAUCUUUCUUCACACUCUUUUAAAGGUGACUUUUCUGAGUCACAGCUAAUGUAAACCAUUUGAAAAAGAUACAGCCUAGACCUAUCCCAUGGCUUAGAGAAACCUAAGAGAUUGUUUAGUGUUUGCACUAUUGGUGUGUGUUCUUAAAAUAGGCACCCUGUCUGAUGUAACUCGGUCAAGUCCUUCUUCAGAUUUUGUGGAGUUCAUUUCCCUUGUCACCCACAGCAAUCUUCAAUGUACAGAACAUUGAUUUGUCAAUGAAACAGCAAAACUGACGCAAAGUUUGGCUCUUCCUCUGUGUUUACAGGAGAAUCUCAGUACAGAGGAUAUGCACUGUAGUUGUUCCUUUGUUUGUAUUUAAUGGUAAGAGAAACGAGAACGUAAUCAUGCCCUGUAUCACUCAAUCUCCUCCCUGUCUCUAAGCAUUUGAGCUCUUUGAAAUAAAAGCAGGUGAUAAUGCAGCUUUUUCUGGCAGUUGAGAGCAUCUCAGAGGCAGAUGAGGAGUGAUUCUGCCCAGAUCAUUCGCAUUGUGCAGUUUCCAUCUGACAACAGCUUCCUGCUGAGCCGUCUUUCAUGUAGAGGAGCGUGGCCAUUACAAACAGUAUUUCAAGUACCAAAAAAUAAUCAAUGUUAGAAGCACAGCGUUUCCUGCUUGUUUUCUUUGUACUCUUGACAACCCAGUCAGAUAGUGCUAGCUUCAUUUUUUCCCACGAACAGCUGGCUAAUUUCUCCUUGUCUGAAAUCACUCCUGUGCAUGCUACUAGACUUAAGGAUGCAAGGUCAAAAUGAGGUUGGGCUCAGAAACCAGCUAUUUCUGGUUAGCUGUUUUACCUAUUUGUUUUCUGGUUAGCUUUGUACAGCAAAGUGAACUCACUUCACUUAUCCUCUGAACCUAUCAUCCCCUUUUAAAGCACAGCAGAGGGUUACAAAAGAUUAGCUGCCAAAGGUUUCUGAAAACUGAAAGCCUUUUAUAAAACGAGUGUUUCAAGCUCACAAUUUUGGUUGGCCUGAGACUAAAAUGAAGACAUAAGAAAGAGCAAAGGCAAGAAGGAGAGAGAAAAGAGUCAGUUGAGCUGCCUGACACUGAGGAGGAGGGCUCAAGCUUUUGGAGGGAACUAAGGAAUAACAGUGAAAAAAGAUAACACUGAGCUGUGUUGCACCAGACCAAGGAGCAAUCUUAGUGAGCCUGAACUGCAGGCCAGUGCUAGGAAGGUGUGGAAAAACAAAUCAGUGAGAAAACAGUUCAUUGAUGAAAUUGCCCAAAUUAAGCGGGGGAAAAAAAACACUGUAAUAUAUAAACACUUUAACUGCAAAGUUGUUUAACGUGAGCUGUCCUAGAAACUGGCAGUGUAGGCUGUUAUUGCUACUUCCUGGGCUACGUAACAGACACAAGGACAGACUGUGAAAUUUUCCACCUAGUGAUAGGGAUAUUAAAUUGUAAAAAAAAAGAUAAGAGUAUCUCAAAAGCAGUGAGCUGCUGUUUUCUCAAGACCUUGCUGCUUAACUUCAAAAGAAACACUGUGGAAACAAAGUGAUUCUCAAGAAGAGAUAAAUCUUUUACAGAAAGAAUAGUGUUGUAAAUCAUCUUUCAAUUUUCAGAAUUUGUUUUACCAAGUUAGCAAAUUAAAGCAAGAGAAAAAUGUAUUCCAGCUGAUUGGGAUCAAAAUCCGAGUCUCAGACAUGCCAAAGAAUAGUCCAGAUAGAGAAGCCAGCAAUUAACUGAUGAAGAAAAAACCAUGGCAAAGUGGAAAGUGGAGGGGGAAAAAAGGACGGAAGACUGGAAAAUGUCAUUGCAUUAGCAGAAGUACAGCCAAAAUGGAUGAUUUAAAUAUAUGAGGAACAACCCAAAAGGUUGUAUGGAGUGAGGUUUUCUUGGGAGUUAGCAAGUAUGAAUCGUUGCACAGUGACAGUGUUGGCACUUAGAAAGAAAGCUGCACGAAGCUUGGUUGAGUUGGAAAGAGCGUACUUCCACAGUGGUUGUUUUCUAUUUAUUUAAAAGAACAGAGAAGAGACACAGAGAAGAUAAGCUGUCAGGAAAGAGAAGGAGGAAUAACUGAAUCCUCACAAAGCACUUGGUAGUGAUUGAGCUGGGUCUGCGCAGUGCUAAGUGUUUCCAGGGCCAGAAGGCCAGCAGCUGCCCAGGGGACAGAGGAGCUGAGCACCAGAGCCCAGAGUCCAGUGCCACAGCUGAGGAGCUCCCUGCAGCCCCAGGGAAAGGGCAGCCCCUUCUGCACAGGGCCUGUCACUACCAAGCAGCACAAGUAACACGUCUGCAGCUUUCUGAAAAACAAAAUAAUUAUUCAUUUCCUUUAAACGGAAAUAUUUGAAGAUCAAAUAUAUUUUGAUAGGCAAAAAUGACAAAAAUAUAAACAAUCCACCUUUCUCAUUUCACUUCAAGAAAGUAAGGGAUCAGGUGCUAGACAUGAAAGGCCUGUUUCAGCAGCUAUUUUCUUCAGCUAAAGCAAAGGGAGCAGAUGCAUUAAAUAUGCAUCUUUUCAGACUGAAGCUGAACAUAAGAAAGAAGCGAUGGGUUUUCAUUUUAAAGGACCCAGUAUCUUGCUGAGUUAUUCAUAUCAGUGUUUGGCUUCCUCUCACAAGCAAAAGCAAAUAGUUAAACUGUAUUUUAAAAUAUUCUAGUAUCUCAGGAAAGGUAGAAUUCUUGUUGGCAUUUUCAGCUGUAUGUAUUUUUACAGAAAAAGACCCAAUUAAAAAGGUAAAAUAGGUAAGGCAACAAGCACCCACUGUAUUGGCAGUUCAGACUCUCAGACUGCUGAGAACUGUCCCCAGAUAAAUGAGGUUACAUUUUGCUUACACCCUUAGCAUAUAUACUGAAUAACAGAUUUCUCUAAAUUUAUAUUGAAAUAAAUUUGGCAAGAGCUACUAGAACAGGAGGAAAAUGAUGACUGAACCUUAGGAGCAGUAUUUGUUAGCUAGAAGUCUCACGAACCCCCUUUUGAAAAUUAAUACUUUGGUUGUGGGAACAAGUCAGAGAAAUUGAUAAAGACUGCUCAGUGCUUUCAGUAAAAAAAAAAUGGAAAUUUUGUUGUAGAUUAUGUGUUUAUGAAGAGAAAGAAAAAUCACUUAAACAAUACUGAGUGCAAAGAAGGUCUUGGGAAAAAAAGGUCAUCAAGAAUAAGUAAAACAAGAGCAGUAGAUGUUAAGAUGUUGUGGUUUACAAAUGUAAGAUCUAAUGACCACAAGGGAUUACAUCUUCCUAGCUGAAUUCUACCAAGUAUUUAAAAUCAUUUGAGAGGUAGUUGUAUUCACAUCCUGUGUGCAAUGUGCUGCCAUGUGAAAAGGAGGUUUUUUUCUCUGUUCUCUUGUACCCUUUUUUGGUGUCUUAGAUAGUCUCAUACUCAGGCAGAGCCACUGAAUCCUGAGAUGUUUAUAUUUCUUUCUGUCCACACUGUCUGUAACUGUAAUCUUCUGUCUGGGUUUAAACAGAAAUCAAACUGAAUUCACUGAGGCUUGGUAGAUGCCAGGUAAUGCCCAUAAAGUACUUUGCAGUCGUUCACGGUGCCAGAUCACAGAGGAAGGUUUCUCUUAUCAUUUGACACAGAAAGGUCUGUGAAGGACUGGGACAGAACUUCCUGUGCAAAGUCCUCUCGCAGGUGAACCUUCCUCCUCUAUCCUUUCAAUGAUUGAAUGAUACAAACAAAGCCCUGACAAAGCUGUCCUGUGGCCAGGGAAGUCUCUGGAUGAUGAUUCUUCAGCCAUCUGUGAGUCUGUGAGCUCAUUACCUAUGGUAACUUGAAAGCAUCUAUGUACCUAAUGAAAAUGGAUUUCCUGUUUUUAUCUCCAUAUUCAUCUAGGCGGGGUUUUGUACUGCAGUUAACCCUCAUUUUCUUAAAACAAACAUCGCAGGAAACCGUUGAUUUUGAAAACAUCCUCUUUUCAAAGUAAAUUUUGGCAAAUUUCAAAAGUUCCAUGGUUACCAUGGUACUUCCAUCAGAAAAUACUCCUGAUCAAACAGUUAGCAGGUUUCACGUCUCCUAGCAGUCGUAUUUCAGAGAAUCUAGAGCAGCCAUAUGACUAAUAUGCUGAACAGCUCCAUUAACAACCAAAAGAACUAAACUGAAAAGUCAAGAUUUCUCAACAAAGGAAUGCCUUCAGACUGUACUGUUGGAAAAUGUAGAUAGAUUAUCCUGGAAAAACAUACUUUGAUAUGGAAAGGAGGCACAGUAACCUCACUUUGCCCAAAUGAUUCAACAUGUCCUGAAGACAGUUGCUCAGUCAAUCAGAAAGCUCUGCCCCCUGCCUGUCUUGCUUAUACCUGAGCUGAUCUUUCAGGGAGUGGUGAAGGAGCCAGGCUUUGUGAUCUAAUUCUUACCAGGUAUUUUCCUUACACACACCUCAAUGAACUCCUGCUUCUAAACCAUAAGACAAAACGUUCUAAGAGGGUCAGUCCAUGGGAUGCAGCGGUCUCCUGUACCAACUCACACCUCUCUCCAACAUUUACAAGCAUUUCCUGAACCAUGCAGCUGACAGCUGCUUGCUCACACAGUGGCUUCUCCACAGGACUGCACCAGCAGUGCACAGCUGUUGAACUGCAGGAGACCUGGAGAGAAAUCCCCUCAUCUGCCCCAUCGACAUCAGCACUGCGUCCCAGGAGGAAACCUUUGGUUCUGGCCUUCCCAGGAGCAGCUCACCUUGGGUCCAUGUUUGUUGUGCUGCUUUAGCAAUUGCUGCUGCAAUUCCCUUGAAGGUGAAAAAUGCAGUCACCCUCCAUUCCCACCCCAUCUGUGUCCUUAACUGCACAGGCCAAGUACUGAUAGAAAAUGGAAUGUGUUCAUUCGUUUUAUGAUUGUUGCUGAGUGAAAUGCCACGAGUGACUCUGCUUUUGGAACAAGCAGUACUUAUGACACGGGAGUGGUUCAUUCCUUCAGUUAUCCCCAUAGGUAGGAAAAUGGAGGUGGAAAAAAAUAAAUAUUUCAUCAAUACACAAGAGAAUUUGUCCAUACCACAAGGUAUUGCUCUUCUCAAAAGAGACACGCAUUUUGCACCAGUGCUGUUACGCUGUGCCUCACCCAUGACAUUUUCUGAAGAGGCAGAGCCACCUCUAGGCUCCUCACUGGCGCAGAUGAAACUGAAUCUUGCAGUCCCAACACAGCUUUUGCAGAAUGGAAACAGCGUGUGCCUGGGAAAAAGACUUAGAAAGUCCUUCUUUCUCUGCCUGUGCUUGCUAGGUCCUGGUGGGUAAAUACAGAGACUCUUGCUGCUAGAAAAGACACAUAGUAAUUUCUAAUCUGCACACAUUUCCCAUCUCAGCAGCAGCCGCCACCAUCACAUUUCUCUGGGGUGCUGGCACUGAUAAAGCAGGAGUAGAACCAGGUCUCUGUGUUCCCUCCUGUCCUACCUACUUCCUGGGCCAGCUUCAGGCUCCCUUUUUCAAGAGAAACCUCUGCUGUUGGAGCCUGAGUUCAACCGCAUUACAAAGCUUGUGGUGUCUUGCAAUUAAGCACGCCUGCAGCUGCUGGCAAGUGAGGGAAACGACCCUGAGAACAGUCAGUUCCCUUCCUUGGAGUGAUCUCCCAUCAGUUGCCAGUUCCUGAGCCAAAGCUCAGGCCAGGAGGCAGUCAGCAAAGCAGAUAAUUGCCUGGCAGUGAUUGACACAGAGUCAAGGGUGAGUGGGGAAGAAUGAGCAGGGAGGGUUCGGUUUCAGAGAGAGGUAUUUUUAUUUAGCAUUUGUCUAUGCAGGCAGUUGGGGGCUUUUCUCCAUCACAUUGGCUUAAACUUGAGGAGAAGGACUCGUAAUUUUACACCUUUUCAGCAUUUCAGCUGGUUCUGCUGACAUAUAUGGAGAUCAAAGAUGAGAAGGGACAGAAAAUUGAUUUUCCAACCUUCAGCCAGAACAGAGAAAAAGUACUCAAGGCUAAAUGGAAGUUUAGAAUUUUUUUGACUGAGUGGAGAGGAAGGAGCAAGCACCUGCCAGUAAUAAAUAACUAUUAGGAAACAGUAUUAGGAAAUACUGCUAAAAAGAAAUGCUGCUGCUAGUAUCUACUUUCAGCAUUGGAGGAUCUAUAGCCAGGCAGCUCAAAAUUUAUUUAGAUAUCAACAGCUUGUGUGCAACUUCUCUCAAAUGCAGAGCAGCAGCACUGUUAGAGAAGCCAGCACUCAGUGCUUUGACAAAGAAGCAGUCAUUACAGAACAGAACAUUUCGGCUUUCCAGACAGUAAUACCUAGAGUUAGCAAUAGCAUUGUGUACUUUAGCAAAUUUAUAUUCAAACUGCUAUCUACAAAGGGAAGUAAAGCUUAUCUGUACCUUUUUGCUGUAACUUUGAUACUGAUCUUUAUAGCUAUUCUUCCAGUAAGAGAACCUAUGAAUUAUAAACUGCUUAAGCUAAACUAAAUGUGGAGACAUUAGUAAAAGCUAAACUAAAUGUGGAGACAUUAGUAAAAGCUAAACUAAAUGUGGAGACAUUAGUAAAAACACUAUCUGUCCGCUAAUAAAGGUUUACAUUUUUACCAGGUUUAGAGAUACAGUUGCCAAACUAUUCUAACACUCUGAGCAGGUGCAAAAUGUCCCCAGUUAUACACAAAAGUUGCUGCACUAGAAAUUGUUUUGUUUUUCAAGAAUGCAGUAUCAGGCAGUGUAUUCUGCCCUGCAGCCCAUUCCUUCGCUUCCCCUGAGCUGCUUAAUCAAGGCAGGGUCUACUAGACAGAAGGACAAAGCAUGGCAUAAAACCAGGACAUCGAACAGGUUUAGCCAGAAUCACGUACACGGCCUCUGAGCAGGCAGUCAGCCUAUCUGCACAGGUAGGACUGCUGGUAGUGCAUCCCAGGGGCAGGGGCAGAGGCUGGAAUCCUUACAGCCCUGCUACCCAGCCCAGGGGGGAGCUCACACUGUGAGGGAAGUAGCUCCUAGCAGUUCAGAAGCAAAAGUCCUCACAAAGCAGCUGCUGAGGGAGCUGGGCCUAUUUUCAUAUGGGAGCAGUUGAGCAACAUUGUUGAAGUUCUUUAGUCCAGAGGUAUCCAAUGGCACCAGCACCCUCUUGCUGUUGAGCCAGCCGGCCUUUUUGUUUGUGGUCUGUAAAAGGAAGCAGCAUUAUGGCUGGAACCCAGGUGCCAUGAGAAGAACCUUCUUACACAGCACAAAUGUGGUACAUUCCUGCCCAGUGGCUGCAAUCCACUGGAAGAGACUAUUUUGGCUGUGCUGAAAGAUUACCUGCUCUAGGACCAGUCCCAAAAUACCAGCUACCAGUUUAUUCUGGUAGUUGUUCCACAGCUGAUGGCAGGAAUGGCCUCAGCAAACCCAGGCCCCUGAGACCAGCAUGAAAGUUGGGAGUAAUGCGGACUUAUUCCUUCAUGAUACAAGGGGAUCAAGUUAGGUAACACCAAAAAAAUAAUAAUGGAAUAUACACAAGUGUAUGGGACCCCGUGGUGUACAUUCACAACUGCUGAGUGAACUGGCUGAGGUCACUGCAAGGUCACUCUUGGCUGUCUUUAAAAAGUUGCAGUGAUCAGGGAAGGUUCCUGAGGACUGGAAGAAAGUACAUGCGAGCCUAAUCUUCAAGAAGAGCAAGAACAAUCUGGGCUAGUAAACCCUACCUCAAUCCCUGGGAAAGUGAUGGAGCAGAUCCUCCAGGAAGCCAUCUCCUUGGAAGGCCAAGAAAGUGAGUGAGAGAGCUGUCAGCAUGGGACUUGGAAUGGGAGAUUCAUGCCUGCCCAGCCUGGCAGCUUUCGAUGAUGAAAUGACUGGCUCAGUGAAUGACAGAGCCAGACUCUUUCUAGCUGCAAUGGGCAAAAAUUGAAAAAUGGGAAAUUCUGCUUUGAUGUAAGAGAACAUUUAUUUUGCUGUGAAGGUGAUUAACACUGAAGCAGGUCAUCCAGAGAGGCUGUGGAGUCACCAUCCUUGGAGAUAUUCAAAAGCCAUCUGGAGGCAGUCCUGAGCAACUCGUUCUAGUGGACUCAGCCAAACUUUCAACAAUUGGAUCUAAGGUCUGUCUAUUCUUUGCCCAGCCAGCACCUGACAGUGGCCAACAGCAGAUACUUCUGGAAAGAACACAAGAAGUAAAGCACUCUGCGUGACCUCCCUAGUAUGUACUCCCAGUUCCAAACAACCUGCAAUUCAGGAAUUUCUUGUGCAAGAAGUGAUAUAUAGCCAUAUCCGUUUUCAGUAGUUCUUCAGCUUUUGAGCAAACAAGCAGAUGUGUCUGAUCAGCCUACUUUAAACUUUUCUCCUCACACCA